CUUUUAAUCAAUUGGUCGCAGGUUCGAAUCCUGCACGACCCACCAUUCCACAGGUGGUCACAGGUAGAGAGUGUGAAGGAUAACGUUGCGUCAGCAACGGCCCGAAGGGCGAGGCGGAGCCGAGUCAUCCUGCACGACCCACCA
This 144-nucleotide small RNA is filed under the name Trabulsiella odontotermitis. RNAcentral's name for it is "RtT RNA". It matches the Rfam family "RtT RNA", at positions 22 to 130 of the family's 130-position model. From Rfam's summary of the family: This family represents a bacterial cis-regulatory element known as RtT RNA. The exact function of RtT is unknown although it is thought that it may be involved in changing the cellular response in relation to amino acid starvation. Lineage: Bacteria; Pseudomonadati; Pseudomonadota; Gammaproteobacteria; Enterobacterales; Enterobacteriaceae. The record is from RNAcentral.